CCAGUUGCAUUAUAGUUUAACAACCGCACUUGUUUAUUCACACUUCUGAACUUCAGUGCACACCAGAGGCCCAUCACAACAUAGAUAUAAUCACACAGACACUAUACUGCACCGCUGCAUUCACAGGCAAUCACCUGACUGUGCUCGACCCUUACAUGACACAGCGAGAAGCUCCAUGCUGGCAGGACACAGAAGGAUCUGAAGGAACCAGAGCAGAAUUCUGCUCCAAAUUUAUCUGCCAUUUCUCCCAGCGUGCUCCUGGAGAGGAGAUUCUGGCAGUCCAGGAUGAUGCAACAGAUCUUGAGAGACAUGUUUGUAGAUCCAGAGCUUCUGGCUGAACUAAAUAAGGAGCAGAGGCCGUUUCUUUUCUACAAAAUAUGUCAGGAGCAGGUGCUACAUUAGACGGAGUGUGAGAGCCAAGAGGAAGGCUGGAAAAGACCCCUGAAUAACAAAAGAAAGGGUGAGUCUGGCAAGUCUAUCUUUCCUAGGUCUUCAUGUAAUCAGAUUAAGUCUUCCUUUUCUGGGUCCAAGCUCUCUAGGCCAAAUUUUGGCUUCCGGAUUGACCCACGCUGGUAAACAUAUUUUCGGUAACAACGAUGGCUGACCAGAAAGUGGGGACCAGCAACGUAAGUGUUCAACAUAAGAAAUAAAUUCAUACAGGGUUGGAACAAGGGUUAGUAAAUGAUGACAGAAUAGUAAUUCUGGGUGAACUAUCCUUUUAGCAAGUUUUGUCUUGCAUUUAUCACUUAUUUGUUUUGGCUUUUCAUCAGAGAAGGCAGUCCCAGCAUGCAUUGUGACAAGCUCAUUAACAAACUAUAUCCAAAAUGGUGGACACUUUGAUAGAAAAUAUAGAAAUAUAUUCUUUCCAUAAUAUUUGUCUCUGCAAUGAAUUCCUUAUUUAUAUGUUGUAAAGGAUUUCAACAUGAAAGAGUUUCAUGAUGUUUAGGAUGGUCACUUUCUAGGUAAUAUACAGCUCAAAAUUGCUGUUUAAAUACUAAUUCAUCCAAAAAUAAAAAAUCCUCUUGUUAAUUCCUCACCCUCAUGUUGUUUAAAACCCCAUAAGACUUUCAUUCAUCUUCGGAACUCAAAUGAAUAUAUUUGUAAUAUAACUUGUCUUUUAAAAAUCAUAUUUCCAAUGUUACAAAAACAGCAUUCUUCCAUCUUAGAAACAUUGCCAAGCUACGAAACAUGUUAUCUGUUUCUGAUGCAGAAAAGCUAGUUCCUGCAUUCAUGACCUCUAGACUGGACUAUUGUAAUGCACUUCUAGGUGGUUGUCCUGCAUCUUCAAUAAACAAGCUACAGGUAGUCCAAAAUGCAGCAGCUAGAGUCCUUUCAAGGUCAAAAAAAUCAUGAUCAUAUUACCCCAAUUUUACAGUCUCUGCACUGGCUACCUAUUAAGUUCCGUAUCAGUUACAAAUUAUCAUUACUUACCUAUAAGGCCCUAAAUGGUUUAGCUCCUGCGUAGCUAACUAGCCUUCUACCACGCUACAAUCCAUCAUGCUCCCUAAGGUCACAAAACGUUGGACUUUUGGCUUUUUCACAUUUGGCUCCCAAACUCUGGAAUAGGCUUCAUGAUAAUGUUCGGGGGUCAGACACACUCUCUCUGUUUAAAUCUAGAUUAAAAAUGGAUCUCUUUUGCAAAGCAUUCAAAUAAUGUAUCUUUAAUUGUGAGUGUAGUUGCAUCUGAUCAAAUGCGCAUUCUUAUUCUUUAGCUUGGGUUAAACUAAUUAAUAUUACUUUGUUGGAUCAGCAGCUAUGCUAAUGAUGUCUGUAUUUGUUUCUAUGUUUUGCCACGGGAUAUACACAAGCUCCAGUCUGGAUCCAGAACACCUGAGAAGAGAUGAUGCUGACCCUCAGAGGACCCCAGAUGAUGCUAACCUUGAAUCAACAAAUAGAACUAACAAAUAUUGCUACAAGUGUGACUGCAUCAUAUAAUAAUUAUUAAUUAUUAAUAAUAUUAAUAAUGUUCAUUGUCUGGCUGACUACGUCUUGUAUAAAUUUUUCUAAAAAUCCUGUCAUAUGUGCAAAAACUGACAGUCACCACUUAUAAGCUACUACUAAAUAUUGUAGAAACAUAAUUUUCUGUAAAGUUACUUUGUAAAGAUUUGUAUUUAAAAAGCGCCAAACAAAUAAACUUGAAUUGAAUUGAA
Long non-coding RNA from Carassius gibelio (silver crucian carp), 2150 nucleotides. RefSeq lists it as uncharacterized. The transcript is spliced from 2 exons. The record is from RefSeq and is a predicted model, not a curated record. NCBI's taxonomy places the organism in Eukaryota, Metazoa, Chordata, Actinopteri, Cypriniformes, Cyprinidae.